Acanthosepion pharaonis is the source of this 99-nucleotide non-coding RNA. The record is from the annotation of a GenBank genome assembly. Lineage: Eukaryota; Metazoa; Mollusca; Cephalopoda; Sepiida; Sepiidae.
AUUGAAACACCAGCACCCAUACAAUUACUGAAGUUAAGCAACAUUGAGCCUGGUCAGUACCUAGAUGGAUGACUGCUUGGAAAUAACAGGUGCUGUGAG